GUCCGCUGGGGCAGCGGGGCGAAGAUGGAGUGGCCGCAGCGGAGGAGCUGGAGGAGAGGCGGCCUUUGCCGGGCUCGGGCCUCGGCGAGCUGGGGUUGCGGCCGUGGAGGGGGCUUUCUGCGGCGGGGCACGAGCCGAAGGAGUCGGGGCGGCAGCGGCUGGUGGCAGCAGCGGGCCUCGGGGUGAGGAGCGGCCUGUAGGGGCUGGCGGAGGGGCGGUAGGAGAGGCGGCGAGCAGGGGCAGGAGGAGGAGUUGGGAGUGACGGGGCAAGGGAUGCUUAGCACUACGACCUCGGGUCCUCGAACUGCGGUGGCAACUACUACUGAGGAUGAUGUGGCCUCCACGGAUGAUGAUGUACGGACUGCUGCUGGUCCUCAUCAAUCCUCCUAGGGUCCGUCCUCCGGACGCGGAGAAAGCUAGACAUAGGGUCAAACAUGAUCGGAAGAAUUCCGUUUGAAUAAAUUGAAUACAGACAUGAGUCUAUAACAACGAAGGCGACUGAGCAGAUACUACCUCGUGAACAUAAGCUCGGGAGCUCCGGGGACCGAACAUAAUACUACGAACAUACUGAAUAAAAUGAAAAUCUCUACACAACACUAUAGAAGGGCACUCAGGGACUAGAACUAACAUG
This 631-nucleotide ribosomal RNA is filed under the name Triticum aestivum (bread wheat). RNAcentral describes it as "partial small subunit ribosomal RNA". The record is from RNAcentral. Lineage: Eukaryota; Viridiplantae; Streptophyta; Magnoliopsida; Poales; Poaceae.